RNAcentral lists this unclassified non-coding RNA (412 nucleotides) under soil metagenome. RNAcentral's name for it is "partial contains 5.8S ribosomal RNA, internal transcribed spacer 2, and large subunit ribosomal RNA". The stretch from base 1 to 120 matches the Rfam family "5.8S ribosomal RNA", at positions 35 to 154 of the family's 154-position model. The record is from RNAcentral.
GAUGAAGAACGUAGUGAAAUGCGAUAAGUAAUGUGAAUUGCAGAAUUCAGUGAAUCAUCGAAUCUUUGAACGCACCUUGCGCUCUUUGGUAUUCCGAAGAGCAUGCCUGUUUGAGUGUCAUGAAAAUAUCAACCUUGACUUGGGUUUUGUGCUCUAGUCUCGGCUUGGAAUUGGGUGCUUGCCGCUUUUACGAGCGGCUCACCUUAAAUGUAUUAGCUGGAUCUGUCUUUGAGACUUGGUUUGACUUGGCGUAAUAAGUAUUUCGCUAAGGACAUUCUUCGGAGUGGCCUCGUUUCUAGGACGCUUGUCCGCUUUCCAAUACAAGUUCCACCUCGUGGACAUGACUUUUUAUUAUCUGGCCUCAAAUCAGGUAGGACUACCCGCUGAACUUAAGCAUAUCAUAAGCGGAGGA